RNAcentral lists this ribosomal RNA (253 nucleotides) under uncultured bacterium. RNAcentral's name for it is "partial 16S ribosomal RNA". It matches the Rfam family "Bacterial small subunit ribosomal RNA", at positions 524 to 776 of the family's 1533-position model. The record is from RNAcentral.
UACGUAGGGUGCAAGCGUUGUCCGGAAUUACUGGGCGUAAAGGGCUCGUAGGCGGCCAACUAAGUCAGACGUGAAAUCCCUCAGCUUAACUGGGGAACUGCGUCUGAUACUGGAUGGCUUGGAUUCGGGAGAGGAAUGCGGAAUUCCAGGUGUAGCGGUGAAAUGCGUAGAUAUCUGGAGGAACACCGGUGGCGAAGGCGGCAUUCUGGACCGACAUUGACGCUGGGGAGCGAAAGCCAGGGGAGCAAACGGG